Long non-coding RNA from Lotus japonicus, 609 nucleotides. RefSeq lists it as uncharacterized. NCBI's taxonomy places the organism in Eukaryota, Viridiplantae, Streptophyta, Magnoliopsida, Fabales, Fabaceae. The record is from RefSeq and is a predicted model, not a curated record. The transcript has 2 exons.
AAUUCAUCAGAGGAAAGGAGGAAAAUUAAACCACCAGCAACAACAACAACAACAAAAAGAGCUCAAAAUUAAGAGAUCAAAACAUCCGAAAGAUGUCGAAUAAGCACGUUGCAUUGUUGUUGUUGGUGUGCCUCGCAGUUGCGGUAGCAGUUGAGGCGAGGUCGAAGCCUAAGCCUCUCCCCAAGAAAGACGGCAUUUACGGCAAGCCCUUGCCGCCCAAGAAUUAUCUUGUAAAUAACUGCCUCGGGGAUUGCCACAAGAGCUGCUCGCUGCCCAAAUUUGUAUGCAAUUACAAAUGUUGGGCCAAAUGCAAAUCACUCAUUCCCAAUGAUGUCAAAAAUGUUGUUAAUUAGCAAAGGACAAAGUUGAACAUGAAGAUGAGAAGAAGCAGAAGAAUAACCACGUAGCUAGGCAUCUAAGAAGGAGAAGACUGCCGUGGAGUCUAAGAAGAAUUAAGUUAUUAAUUAUUAGACAAAACAUGAUAGGAAGAUUAUACAAGGCAUUCUCAUCAACUAGGGACACAACUUUAACUUUGUGUCAAUGAAGACAUGUCAUUAUCCUCUUUCCCCACAUAUCAUAAUUAAUAAUAUUAUGGAAAUAUUAUCCGUA